ACUCCUACGGGAGGCAGCAGUGGGAAUAUUGCACAAUGGGCGCAAGCCUGAUGCAGCCAUGCCGCGUGUGUGAAGAAGGCCUUCGGGUUGCAAAGCACUUUCAGUAAGGAGGAAAGGUUAGUAGUUAAUACCUGCUAGCUGUGACGUUACUUACAGAAGAAGCACCGGCUAACUCCGUGCCAGCAGCCGCGGUAAUACGGAGGGUGCGAGCGUUAAUCGGAAUUACUGGGCGUAAAGCGUACGCAGGCGGUUUGUUAAGCGAGAUGUGAAAG
RNAcentral lists this ribosomal RNA (272 nucleotides) under uncultured bacterium. Its description in RNAcentral is "partial 16S ribosomal RNA". It matches the Rfam family "Bacterial small subunit ribosomal RNA", at positions 335 to 600 of the family's 1533-position model. The record is from RNAcentral.